This 434-nucleotide ribosomal RNA is filed under the name uncultured Lachnospiraceae bacterium. Its description in RNAcentral is "bacterial SSU rRNA". It matches the Rfam family "Bacterial small subunit ribosomal RNA", at positions 341 to 792 of the family's 1533-position model. Lineage: Bacteria; Bacillati; Bacillota; Clostridia; Lachnospirales; Lachnospiraceae. The record is from RNAcentral.
ACGGGAGGCAGCAGUGGGGAAUAUUGCACAAUGGGCGAAAGCCUGAUGCAGCGACGCCGCGUGAGCGAAGAAGUAUUUCGGUAUGUAAAGCUCUAUCAGCAGGGAAGAUAAUGACGGUACCUGACUAAGAAGCUCCGGCUAAAUACGUGCCAGCAGCCGCGGUAAUACGUAUGGAGCAAGCGUUAUCCGGAUUUACUGGGUGUAAAGGGAGUGCAGGCGGUGCUUUAAGUCUGAUGUGAAAACCCAAGGCUCAACCAUGGGAUUGCAUUGGAAACUGGAGUACUAGAGUGUCGGAGAGGCAAGCGGAAUUCCUAGUGUAGCGGUGAAAUGCGUAGAUAUUAGGAGGAACACCAGUGGCGAAGGCGGCUUGCUGGACGAUUACUGACGCUGAGGCUCGAAAGCGUGGGGAGCAAACAGGAUUAGAUACCCUGGUA